RNAcentral lists this ribosomal RNA (162 nucleotides) under uncultured bacterium. RNAcentral's name for it is "partial 16S ribosomal RNA". It matches the Rfam family "Bacterial small subunit ribosomal RNA", at positions 1339 to 1500 of the family's 1533-position model. The record is from RNAcentral.
UAAUCGCGGAUCAGCAUGCUGCGGUGAAUACGUUCCCGGGCCCUUGUACACACCGCCCGUCACACCAUGGGAGCCGGUAAUACCCGAAGUCAGUAGUCCAACCUCGUGAGGACGCUGCCGAAGGUAGGAUUGGCGACUGGGGUGAAGUCGUAACAAGGUAAC